GCUUUUGGAUAUUCUGGCUAUUCUAGUGGCGGACGGGCGAGUAACGCGUGAGUAACCUGCCCUUCAGUGGGAACAACAGUUGGAAACGGCUGCUAAUACCGCAUAAUGGCCACCGGGCAUCCCGGAGGUACCAAAGGAGCAAUUCGCUGAAGGAUGAACUCGCGUCCGAUUAGCUAGUUGGUGAGGUAACGGCCCACCAAGGCGACGAUCGGUAGCCGAACUGAGAGGUUGAUCGGCCGCAUUGGGACUGAGACACGGCCCAGACUCCUACGGGAGGCAGCAGUGGGGGAUAUUGCACAAUGGAGGAAACUCUGAUGCAGCAACGCCGCGUGAGGGAAGACGGUCUUCGGAUUGUAAACCUAAGUUAUCAGGGACGAACAAGAUGACGGUACCUGAAGAGAAAGCUCCGGCUAACUACGUGCCAGCAGCCGCGGUAAUACGUAGGGAGCGAGCGUUGUCCGGAUUUACUGGGUGUAAAGGGUGCGUAGGCGGGUCGGCAAGUCAGGCGUGAAAUCCCGCGGCUUAACUGCGGGGCUGCGCUUGAAACUGUCGAUCUUGAGUGAAGUAGAGGCAAGCGGAAUUCCUAGUGUAGCGGUGAAAUGCGUAGAUAUUAGGAGGAACACCAGUGGCGAAGGCGGCUUGCUGGGCUUUAACUGACGCUGAGGCACGAAAGCAUGGGGAGCAAACAGGAUUAGAUACCCUGGUAGUCCAUGCCGUAAACGAUGAUUGCUAGGUGUGGGGGGUCGACUCCCUCCGUGCCGGAGUAAACGCAAUAAGCAAUCCACCUGGGGAGUA
RNAcentral lists this ribosomal RNA (795 nucleotides) under uncultured bacterium. RNAcentral describes it as "bacterial SSU rRNA". It matches the Rfam family "Bacterial small subunit ribosomal RNA", at positions 66 to 882 of the family's 1533-position model. The record is from RNAcentral.